Molecule: long non-coding RNA, 342 nt
Organism: Pieris napi
Lineage: Eukaryota; Metazoa; Arthropoda; Insecta; Lepidoptera; Pieridae
Exons: 2
Source: RefSeq, a predicted model, not a curated record
GGAUAUAUAAGGACUACGGCAGUUUGUUAGACACAGUCACAUUGAUACAAUAGCACAAUGAUCAAGCUGGUAGUUCUGUUCGCUCUGGUAGCCGUAGCAAGCGCGGGGGUGAUUGCUCCAAUCGUCCCUGUUGCUCACCCAGUGGUUCAUCACGUGGCCCCGGUGGUUCCAGUGGCAUCGGUGCACUCCGCAGUGGUUCACCACAGACCCAUCGUCCACGCCCCGUUGGUACACGCACCAUUGGUUCACGCGCCAGUGGUUCACGCUGCACCAGUGGUCCCCAUUGUUAAACACCAUUCACCGAUCCUUCUCCACCAUUAAUAAAAUAAAUUAUUUUAUAUA